This 134-nucleotide ribosomal RNA is filed under the name Yoonia sp. RNAcentral's name for it is "partial 16S ribosomal RNA". It matches the Rfam family "Bacterial small subunit ribosomal RNA", at positions 1 to 146 of the family's 1533-position model. Lineage: Bacteria; Pseudomonadati; Pseudomonadota; Alphaproteobacteria; Rhodobacterales; Paracoccaceae. The record is from RNAcentral.
CAACUUGAGAGUUUGAUCCUGGCUCAGAACGAACGCUGGCGGCAGGCCUAACACAUGCAAGUCGAGCGCACUCUUCGGAGUGAGCGGCGGACGGGUUAGUAACGCGUGGGAAUAUACCCUUCACUACGGAAUAG